CAACAUCCCAUUUCUUUUUCUCAUCUCCAUUUCUUCCAGUCUAGUCUUCUACUUCCUUGUUGGGCUCGAAGAUCAAUUCAGCUUGUUAAUGUACUUUGUGCUGAAUUCUUUCAUGGCUUUGUUGGAGAAUUGGAAAAUGCUAGGUGGAUAGCAUUGGCUGGUUCUUACAAAUGGUAUUGAAGUGAAGCUACAAAGGUAUGCUCUUAGCGUGAUUGAAGCACCCACUGGUAAUAAGGAAGAUGAUGACCUUGAAUUUGAAAAUAUGUCGUGGAAUGGAUCAGAUACGGAUUCUUUCAGUUUGCCUACAAAUUGUUUGAUUAAAUGUUUUUGGAGAUUUUGAAGACUUUGACUUAUUGUUUUUAGCCUUUUAGGCUUGAUUUGAUGAUUUUGAGCUUCUAUCCAUAGUGGUUAAGUAUUCUUUUAGCUUUUGUCAUGAAUGGUUAAACCUUGGUUGUUGUUGGUUCACAAAGUGUUUGUGAAAAGUUCUCAUUGAAGACAAAUUUUAUGAUUCUUCUAUUUUGUUGAUGUAAGCUUCUGUCCAUGGUGAUUAAUAAUUGUUUAAGUUUUUGCCAUGGAUGGUUAAGCAUUGAAUUGUUGUUUUGCUUCUACUCUUGAUGGUAAACUUUCGUUGCUUUUGCCAAGUGGUUAAACUCUGAGGUAUAGUUUCUGCUUGGUGGUUAAACUUUGAUAGUUUCAUGGAUUAAUGGUUUGAACUUCUGCCAAAUGGUCUUGUUGUUGAUUUCGCUUUAUGAUUAAGUUUUGAUGCUUGCUUUGGACUCUUGGAAGAAGAUUGAGAAAGCUGAAGUGGGUCAAAGAUUUCUAGAAGUUUCUGUUUUAGCCAAUGUAUUUUCAGCAUGUUUGACUAUAUUCCAAGUUUUCAAACUUUUUUUUUUAUUUCCUUUGAUGUUGAUAUAUUAUCUUCUCCAAGUUGAAAGGUUUUCAACACCUUCCAGCUUGCAGAGGAUAUUAGAGAUAUAAAUUAGUUUAGUUGAUUAUUAGUUUAGUUAGUUACAAAUUAGUUACAAGUUUAACUAUAUAAGACUCAAUGUAUUCAUGUAAAAAUUGAUUUGCUCAUUUUGAACAUUAUUCAAAAUAAUUUAAGUUUUUCUUUUC
Glycine soja is the source of this 1113-nucleotide long non-coding RNA. RefSeq lists it as uncharacterized. Lineage: Eukaryota; Viridiplantae; Streptophyta; Magnoliopsida; Fabales; Fabaceae. The record is from RefSeq and is a predicted model, not a curated record. The transcript is spliced from 2 exons.